This is a small nucleolar RNA of Cyprinus carpio carpio, 90 nucleotides long. Its record names the gene U3. It matches the Rfam family "Small nucleolar RNA U3". Rfam says of the family: Small nucleolar RNAs (snoRNAs) are involved in the processing and modification of rRNA in the nucleolus. The record is from Ensembl. Lineage: Eukaryota; Metazoa; Chordata; Actinopteri; Cypriniformes; Cyprinidae.
UGAGCGUGAAUCGGGUGUAGAGUAAUGAUUUGUUUCAUAUGCUUUACAUUUUUGAUGAACGUUCAUUAUUGCUAAUAAGCAGUAUGGAGG